UUUGACCAAUAAUUAAACACAUGAACUCAAAUUUAAAUCAUACUUGGUGGUGGAACUUUCGAAACUCAAUUUCGUGAACUAAACCUAUGGUAUAUUUAAAAUAAAAAUAUAAAAGGCUUGUC
Molecule: non-coding RNA, 122 nt
Organism: Bacteroidetes bacterium MedPE-SWsnd-G2
Lineage: Bacteria; Pseudomonadati; Bacteroidota
Source: Rfam